UACGUAGGGUGCGAGCGUUAAUCGGAAUUACUGGGUUUAAAGGGUGUGUAGGCGGACUUUUAAGUCAGGGGUGAAAUCCCGAGGCUCAACCUCGGAACUGCCUUUGAUACUAUUGGUCUUGAAUGUUGUUGAGGUGGGCGGAACGGGUCAUGUAGCGGUGAAAUGCAUAGAUAUGACCCGGAACACCGAUUGCGAAGGCAGCCCGCUAAGCAACUAUUGACGCUGAGGCACGAAAGCGUGGGGAUCAAACAGG
Molecule: ribosomal RNA, 253 nt
Filed under: uncultured bacterium
Lineage: Bacteria
Description: partial 16S ribosomal RNA
Rfam family: Bacterial small subunit ribosomal RNA
Source: RNAcentral